GAACGCUGGCGGCGUGCCUAAUACAUGCAAGUCGAACGGUCUUUCUAUGGAAGCUUGCUUCCACUGAGAAGAUAGUGGCGAACGGGUGAGUAACACGUGGGUAACCUGCCCAUAAGAGGGGGAUAACAUCCGGAAACGGGUGCUAAUACCGCAUAGUUUUCUUGAUCGCAUGAUUGAGAAAGGAAAGACGGCCUUUGUGCUGUCGCUUAUGGAUGGACCCGCGGCGUAUUAGUUAGUUGGUGAGGUAACGGCUCACCAAGACGAUGAUACGUAGCCGACCUGAGAGGGUGAUCGGCCACAUUGGGACUGAGACACGGCCCAAACUCCUACGGGAGGCAGCAGUAGGGAAUCUUCCGCAAUGGACGAAAGUCUGACGGAGCAACGCCGCGUGAGUGAAGAAAGGUUUUCGGAUCGUAAAACUCUGUUGUCAGAGAAGAACAAGUUGGAGAGUAACUGCUCCAGCCUUGACGGUAUCUGACCAGAAAGCCACGGCUAACUACGUGCCAGCAGCCGC
RNAcentral lists this ribosomal RNA (514 nucleotides) under uncultured bacterium. RNAcentral's name for it is "bacterial SSU rRNA". It matches the Rfam family "Bacterial small subunit ribosomal RNA", at positions 31 to 518 of the family's 1533-position model. The record is from RNAcentral.